Molecule: unclassified non-coding RNA, 304 nt
Filed under: soil metagenome
Description: partial internal transcribed spacer 1
Source: RNAcentral
ACACGUAUCCACGUAUCAACCCCUCUGCGCAACACGUUAAACGUAAGGUUGGUCUUAGUCUGGCAACUCGCAUAGACCUCAACGAUGGAGGACUUUUGUGUUGAAGCGGUUUCGGCCGCCGAGACUCGGGGGUCCUGAGGUCUGAGUUGUUGGGUGUUUGUCGACUGGCCGCUAUUUUCCCAUCGUUAGGUUUUCUCUAACCCAAAUUUUUAACCCCUUUGUACUUCUUCUGUACUGAACCAAUUCCUUCGAGUUCUCUUCGCAAGAAGACUUGAACACGAAAGAUAUUACGAAACUAAAAGAA